Dipodomys ordii (Ord's kangaroo rat) is the source of this 261-nucleotide unclassified non-coding RNA. Its record names the gene 7SK. It matches the Rfam family "7SK RNA". From Rfam's summary of the family: 7SK was discovered as an abundant small nuclear RNA in the mid-70s but a possible function has only recently been suggested. Two independent studies have found that 7SK RNA binds the CDK9/cyclin T complex (known as elongation factor P-TEFb). NCBI's taxonomy places the organism in Eukaryota, Metazoa, Chordata, Mammalia, Rodentia, Heteromyidae. The record is from Ensembl.
GGUUGUGAGGGAGAUCUAGAUGUGACAUCUGUCACUCCACUGAUUGCCAGGGUUGAUUUGGCUGAUCUGGCUGGCCAAGCAGGUGUUCCAUUCUCCCUCACAGCUCCAUGUGCAUCCUUCCUGAAGCUGUGUUCAAAGAGGAUGACCAUCCCCAACAGAGGAAGACUGGUCUUCGGUCAAGAGUAAAGACGUAGCUAGAACCUCCAAACAAGCUCUCAAGAAACCCUGCCAUCCACCACAGGAUACACUCUAUCCUCCUGA